This 265-nucleotide ribosomal RNA is filed under the name uncultured bacterium. RNAcentral describes it as "partial 16S ribosomal RNA". The record is from RNAcentral.
CUGCUGCCUUCCGUAGGAGUUUGGACCGUGUCUCAGUUCCAAUGUGGGGGACCUUCCUCUCAGAACCCCUAUCCAUCGAUGCCUUGGUGGGCCGUUACCCCGCCAACAAGCUAAUGGAACGCAUCCCCAUCGAUGACCGAAAUUCUUUAAUAGUUCUACCAUGCGGAAGAACUAUGCCAUCGGGUAUUAAUCUUUCUUUCGAAAGGCUAUCCCCGAGUCAUCGGCAGGUUGGAUACGUGUUACUCACCCGUGCGCCGGUCGCCAU